This is a long non-coding RNA of Malania oleifera, 770 nucleotides long. RefSeq lists it as uncharacterized. Lineage: Eukaryota; Viridiplantae; Streptophyta; Magnoliopsida; Santalales; Ximeniaceae. The transcript has 2 exons. The record is from RefSeq and is a predicted model, not a curated record.
CUUGUCGUCCCCAAUCAGGUCUCCGAAAUUCGACGCAUGAAGCUUGUCGAUCACCAACUGCCCAGGAUUCGCCAAAACGAGCUGUACAAAAGCACGGAAAGUACUUUCUGUGAGACUCCUGUGUAACUCUUCCAAGGCAUGGAUGCCGCUAGUGUCAAUGUCAGUCACAGCUGCAGAGAGCACGAGAUUGUGAGUCAGUUUAAAUGAUGUAGAAAAUGCAUGACAUGUUUUGCUAAAAUGGACUUCGAGAACUUGGAUAAGAAUUUCUUACGUGACAUCUCAACAAUCAAAAACUGUAUUCGUGGUUGAUAUGCAGCUUUGAGUUGUUCUUCCUCAUCAGUCAACCAUCUCAAUAUCCUGUAAGGAAGCAGAUAUUGAGCAACCCGACAGUUAGCUAGCAACAGGAUGUAUGAUGAACAGUUUACACAGGUAUCCUUAUGCUGUGUUUGGAAGCAUGAAUUUCGACCUUGGAUUUGGAUUUGGCUUUGGAUAGAUUUAGACAAAUUUUAAUGUAAUUUUAUAUUGCAUUUUAUUCAAAUCUAAGGUCUCUCUAAACAUAGCGUUAAUAUCGAAAAAUCCUAGACUCAUCUUGAAUGAUCUAUACUUGGAUAAAGAAUUCAGACACACUAGUGCACAUAGUUGCUUGUAGCAAAAAAAUCAAUGGCAAAAUAUGGUGCGAGACAAGAAUAUUUGACCUUGUGAUCUUAUUCUUUUGACAUAUUGGAUGAGGGUACAUCAAAAUAAAAAAAUAAAGCAUAUAUUACAUGUCA